RNAcentral lists this long non-coding RNA (460 nucleotides) under Arachis ipaensis. Its description in RNAcentral is "long non-coding RNA (AIPA_LNC000940)". The record is from RNAcentral. Lineage: Eukaryota; Viridiplantae; Streptophyta; Magnoliopsida; Fabales; Fabaceae.
GUUCUAAUCUGAACCACGCAAAAAUAAACGGAACUUGAAAAGCAGAGAGGAAGAGAAGAUAAGCCGAAGGGUGAAGAAAAUAGUGGUGGGUUUCAACCAUAAUCAUGGUAAUGGCUACUUCAUCAACCAUAUUGCCAUCAACACUCAUCGCGGGAACAACGGUUUCAGUUAACUCAAAAAAGCAACUGUUGUUCCUUCCAAAUGGUUAUAAUAACAGGUUACAAAAGAGAGUUUCCUUCACUAUCACAGCAACCAAGCCCCCUGCUGGUGUAAGCACUUCUCUUUUAAUUAGGUGAUAAGAAUACUCAUUUUAAAAAUUAAAUAAAAGUUGUUUAUAUUCAAUGAAGCAGCGCAGUUGUGUGCGCUUAUUAUUUUUUAUGUGUGAGAGAGAGAAGUGUAUAACAAGAAGCUGUGAGUAGAGGUGUGUUUUACAUUGGUAUGAGAUGUAUAAAUCGGAGGC